Molecule: long non-coding RNA, 41534 nt
Filed under: Vitis vinifera (wine grape)
Lineage: Eukaryota; Viridiplantae; Streptophyta; Magnoliopsida; Vitales; Vitaceae
Description: long non-coding RNA (VVIN_LNC001338)
Source: RNAcentral
GUUUUGUUGCCUUGUCUGGAAAUGAAACUAGUGGCCCUAAAAAGUUGAUGUGCUGGUGGACAUUAGGGAUAGCCUUUCUUUUUUUGAUAAGUAAGCAAAGAGAAUAUAUUAUUUAUAAUUAAUAGAUGCACAGUGGACAACUUAGAUAGCUUCUCUAGAACUAUUUUUGAGUUGGCUGCAAGAAACCUUUUCUGUUGCUUACUUUUUAUUGAGGAGAAAUCUACUACUAUAACAUCAUUACUGAAAAUUCUAGAUCUACCUAUCCUACAAGAUGUGUUUUCUUUUGUGCUUAAUUUAAUUGGGUAUUUUUUAUUAGGGAUGUGAGCCCUAACCAAUUAUAUGAAGACUGGUGGGAAAUUAUGGGUAGCAGUUGCCAUUUAGAUUGAGUGGCCUGUAGACCAUUUAAGUGAUGUAUAGUGAUGAUCUUUAUCUUUAUCCACAUUACUAGGUUGCACUUCUUUAGUUCUUUUUCUCUUUUAAAUAUAUUCCUUUAUACCAAUUUUUCACUGGUAUUUCUUCUUUCAGUUUCCUCAUAUUGCUUUUCCUCCUCCCCACGCUAAACAAUCUCGACAAUAUAAGUUUUUGUGGAUAAGCCAUAAGAUUUAUUCUGUCAUUUUUCAACUUUAUUGGUUCUUUCCAGCCUUCUGUUGGUAUCAUAGAAUGGGUAAGAAAGAGUAAGUAAAGGAUGUGUCUCUAUGUUAUAUUUUUGCUGUCGGCUUUGCUUGGCCUUUAUGCUCUGGCAGCUGGAUUACCUUUUUGGUACCUAAUCCCUGGAUGUUUCCUAAGCAGUUAUUGCGACCAUACAUGGCAAUACCUGCAAACCUUAUUUUACAAGUCUACUGAUUAUUACUGCUUUCUCCUUAUUCUGAUUAGUAUUUCAGUAUUUAUGUUGAAAGAAUAAAAAAGUGCCGGACCUUUUUUACUGGGAAUUUGUUGCUAUACCUAUCCCUACCCUUUUUUAUAAGUAAAUUUUAAACUAUUUUUUUCCUUUUUCUUUUCUAUAAUUUAUUUGUGUAUAUGUUUAUUUUCAUGGAUAAACAUUAUGUGCUUAUUACUAUAAAUUUUUUAAAUGUCUAAGCUUCACUUUUGGUACUACCUGGGCUCCUAUUCUGUGUGUUCUUUCCCUUCCCCUCUUAACUAAGAUAAUACUUUGGAAAAUGUACACUUGUUCAAUUCAUUUGGAACUAAAUGAAAAUGAACAUUAUAUUUGAUAUAAUCUCUCGUACGAUAUGUACUUGUAUUUUGUAAAUUGUACUUAACGGCUCAUAAAUCAUGAUACUAUUGCAUCUAUAGCCAUGUUGCAAAAUGUGCUAUAAGUUUGUUAACCUUAGGCAAUCAACAUUUACUUAUAGAGCUUAAAACACAAAGUGGACUAUGAAGGAUUGAAGUCCAAUAGGCUAACACAUAAUAUGGCAUUAUGUAUUGCAAAAUUUGAAUAGCCAGGAGCACGUUAUGCCAAAAAACCCAAAAGAACAGUAAGCACUAAAUUCGUACUGUACUUACAAGUAUAUCAUUUGUUUUAUUUGUUGUAGCCAGUGCAUCUCUCAAACUUACCUUGACAAUCUUCAUCUUUAUUCUUUUGGUUUUCAAUGUCAGUUAUGUUCUUACCAUUAUUAUCUGCUCCUACCACCAGUGCCUCGUGGUCAUGAGGGCCUUUUUGUUUUUGUUUGUUUGUUUUAAGGAAAAGAAAAGAAAAGAAAAACAAAAAAAAAGCAACUACUGAACUUCUAAAGCCUGUAUGUAUUGAGAAGUUUUCUUCUUCCACUUUUUUUUUUCUUCUCAUUUUGUUCCUUUGUUUUUUUCUUUUCUCUCUCUUUGUUUUUUUCUUUUUUUGUCAUUUUUUGGUUAACAGGUUAAAUGUCAUUUUCUUUGUUCAUACUAGCAUGCUGAAUAUGGAAGUCAUAUUUGCCCUCCACAUAUUCGCAUCCCUCAAAACAAUCUUAAGUUAUAUAUCAUUAUAUUAUAUUCAGCAUAGUGUAGCUUCACAUUUUUAUUUCACAUGUGUCAUGCAUGUGUUUACCAAGUCUGACCUCCAGCUAUGGUUUUUGGGUACGGGACUGUCUGUCUUUGGGAUGUUGAGAUUUGAGUCCUGAAGGGUUGCAACAUAUUAAGCACCUCAUCAUAUGCGGCAUCAUCAGCAUCAUUUUAUUUAACCUGAAGCUCUUAUUAUUUCUGAGUGGUAUCCUUUUGGAUUUUCAAAGAAAAUCCCUAUUAAUCCUCCUCGCUUGGAAGGAUGCUUGUAUGAAAAGCUAGGGUUGGUUUGAGUGGAUUCCUUCCAUGCUUCUCAAGCAAAUAUUCAGAAAACCACCUACAUUGACACUGAGAACUUUCUGAUGCAUGUUACCAAUGCAAUCUUUUAGUAUCCUAAAAGAGUAACUUACAGGAGUAUAAUGGUGCUUACAACUUAGAGCAUUGAUUUUAUGCCUGCUUAUGGCUUCUGGUGGUCUUUGGUGGCAUGCUAUUCUAUAGUGGGGAUUACGUACAUGAAUGUCUUUUAGCUUGAAAGCAUGCAUAUCAGCAAAGUCUCUGCAGAUUGAACUGUUGGGUGGACGAUACUGGCAUUUGCCUUUCAAGAAGUGUUUGCUUGCAAUGAAUUCCUCUUUCCUAGUUGCUUUAUCUUUUGAAUUGCAUGUGUUUCUGGAGUUGGGAAUACCCUGCAGCAGAACUGGGCCUGGGAGUUGAUGUGUUCUCUAGAUGGGUAUAAGAUGUUUGCUAGUAUUUUGGUACUGUUAUCAGCAAUAUCUGCAGACGAAUCUUGGAAAAUAUUCCACCUGGGUUGCUGCAUUUUUAGUUGGUAAGAAGAAAAAAAUGCUUUGCUUGCUUUCUUUACUUGAAACCAAUGUUUGAUAUGUUGUCUUAGCUUUUUGGUUUUAUGCUCUAUACCUAUGUUUAGUAUUUGAAAGCUGAUGUGAUUUGUGUUGGCAUUAUGCUAAGUUCUACAAGACAUUGCCUGUUCAUUUUAGUGUUGCCCGAGAUGGUUGGUUUGUUAACUAUCCAUGGAUUUCUCCAACUCUGAAUAAUAGGUUUAUUUAUUUUCAUAUGGCCUUCUAAAGUCAAACCAAUGUUUUGCAGGCUGCGAAGCUCUCUGUGGCUUCAGUUCAAACCACAUCAUAUUGCUGCGGGGGCAGCCUACCUUGCUGCCAAGAUCCUAAAUUUGGAUGUUGCUUCUUACCAGUAUAUCUGGCAGGAGUUCCAAACAACGCCAGCUAUUCUUCAAGGUAGUUGGCACUAUUUUGAAUAUCAUGUGAAUGUUCAAGAUUUUACGUUAAUUUUAUAUUUGCCAAUAGUCUUGGUUCUUAGUAUUUUAUUAUGAACCUCAUUGCAUUGCUCCCACCUUUUUAACAGUCUGUUGAUCCUUUGAUGCAGAUGUUGCGCAGCAGUUGAUGGAGCUAUUUUAGUUUCUACGCAGAUUCAGUUCACCAGUUGAUUGAGCUCUUUUAAAAGAUUACACAGUAGACUAGGCUUCAGGAAUGAAUGUUUCAUGUUAGAUAUGGGUAUUAUAUUCAUUGUUUUUUAAUGCCGUGUUUGUAACCAAUGAUUGGAAAAUCAUCAGUGUUGUCCAGGUUAUAACAUGAGAGAAGCGCUAUUCAUGAGAGAGAGAGAGUAGUAGAUUAGAUAUCUUUGUUUCAGCACUUCCUCUAGAAGUACAGGUCCAAAGAGUGUAAUUCGAAUAGACAGGCAUGAACUUUCUGUUGAGUGGUCAUCUAAUGGAAUAACAAAACUCUUCUGUUUCUCAUGGCCGUCUGUUUUUUCUACUGCUCAUCCUUUCUUGUUCUAAAUAAGAUCACGGGUCUAAGGUGUCUAUUUGCUUUUGAGUAUGUGAUUCUGAGGAAGGUUAGAAGUGCUUUUAAAUGUUUUGAAGUCCUUUUUUUUUCAACAAAAAUCUGGAGUAGUACCUGCUUAUGUGCUUUUUUUAGAAGUUACUUUUCUAGUAUUACUAAUAAAAGCAAUACUGAAAUCUCUAUUGAAGCAUUACUAAUAGAUGUAAUAGUACUGGCUUCGGAGGUUGAAUCUCGUGGGUGGGUGGGUGGGUGGGUGGGUGGGGUGCGGUGUGGUGAGGAGAGAGGGAUUCAAUUGUUGUACAAUACUUUGAGCCGAAGCUUAUAGAGAAAAUGCUAGUUUNNNNNNNNNNNNNNNNNNNNNNNNNNNNNNNNNNNNNNNNNNNNNNNNNNNNNNNNNNNNNNNNNNNNNNNNNNNNNNNNNNNNNNNNNNNNNNNNNNNNGGGGGGGGGGGGGGGGGGGUUGGGGGGGUGAGUGGGGUUUGAAAAUCUUUAUGCAUGAUCUGUUUUUCAAUUACACAUUUCUUUUUUUAUUUUUGUUAGCUUUUAUGAGUUUUUUCAUUUGAAAAAUAAGGGUAUGUUUGGUAACUGAUUUUUGGAAUAGUUUUUUAGUUUUUAUAACAGAAAAACAAGAAAACCCAUUUGAUAAUCAUAAAUUGUUUUUUAUUCUCAAGAAUAGGAAAUAUGAUAUUUUUAUAUAUGCAUUUUUAAUUGUUUAAUAUUAUUUAUAAAUUUACCCUUAUUUAUUUGGUUACGUGUAUAAUAUUUUCAUCCAUCAAAACUAAUAUCGGCCUAUAAAAAUGGCACAAUGUUGAUAUUUAAGAAAAUUGUUUGAUUUUAAACCCCAAUUCUUUUUGGCACACCCUAAAAUGAAAGUGUAUAAUUUUACUGUUUUCGGCUCUAUUUCCUUUUAUAAGAAGUUUUGGAAAGGAAAAUGGACAGAAUCCGCCCAUGGUGCUUUUAUUGCUUUAAAAAAAUAUAUGAAAAUAUUGUUUCUUUAAAAGGGAUGCCAUUGGUUAUGACCAUUUUCUAUUCAUAGAAAAUACAAGUGUUGACAAUCAGCCUGACAAAUAUUGAAUAUGAGGUUAAUUUCAGAAAAUUGUUUAACCUAUAUAUUUAAAAUAUCCCAAAAAAUAAAUUUUAUAAAUAUAAUAAAUUUAUAUAAAUUCUAAUAGAUGAAAUUCAAAAUUAAUAAUAAUUAGAUGUAUUCACGUUCGAGUUUGAAUAAAAUUAAUCUUAAAAUUAAAAUUUUUCUUGGGUAGGUAUAAAAAGGGUAUCAUGGUAUCGUGUUGGGAUUGGUUUUUUUGUUUCUAGGUCAUCUCGAAAGGGAGAAAGAAAGAAGUAAACAAGCCUUCCUAUUGUGGGAUGGUCAAAGAACGUGGCGCUGUCAAAGAGCACUACAGCAUCCCAUCGGUAGCUCCAGAAUUCAAACAGAGUUUUUGUCAUAAUAAUAAUGUAAUUAAUGGUUUUAAUGAUAAAGAUAACUACAUAUCCAAAUCACUGAAAACGCCAAAUAAGGAGACGCCUAUCUCAACCAUAUAUGCCAUGAUCUUCCUUGGCUAGCGUGCCAAUCCAUUUCCUUCUCUCUCUAAAUUUCCCGAGACACAAACAGAGGCGUGUGCGCCUUGCUUCACUUCACUACCAACCAAGAGAUCGUCUUUCCCGGAUAAUUCCAUGGAGUCUGCACCACAACGUCGCCUGACGGCUAUACAGACACAACUCAUCGCCACCGCCGGCGACGACCGCUCGCAUUCACAGCUCCUUACCAAUCAAACCGCCGGCGAGUUCGUUUCCGGUAAUAUCCCGGUUUCUCCAUUUAGAUUUCUCUUUCUGUGUCUCGAGUUGUUGCUUCUAUAUGUGAAGGUCCGCUUUAUAUGCCAUGUUUGGUGAAUAGUACGUUAUGUUGUCUCCAGUGAUGCUAUUGGUUUGGUAUAAUGCUAGGGUUUUAGGGGUGGGUCAAUCCUGAUCUCAUUGGUUGGGUCGUGCGUAUGAAAAACUAGUACUGUAGAUAUUGGUAAUCAUUGGUUGGGCUAUGGCGACUAUUUUAGAGUUUUUGGGAACCGAUUGAACCAAGAUUGAUGUUAUUGGGGGGAGGGCAGGACGAAUGCGUGGCUGGAAGAGAAAAAGUUAGGGGCAAUAAUAGAUGGAGCACUUCACUUUUCCCUGAUAGGCUAAGGGGCAACUUUGCCUUUAUGGUGGGAUGUUCUUAUGUCUUAUAUUUUGUUCAGGGAGGUAAAAUGCGGGGUUUUCGUAGUGUACUCAUCUUUUGUAACUCGAUUAGGGCUUAUUUGACAUAUUUGACUAUUACAGGAUUGGACUCCAUCUUUACCUUUCUUUGGGUAAUCCUCCACCAUAGGAAAAGUAACUUCUUAGGAACGGUACACUCUAAAGCAGGAGAGUUUGUUUAUUGGUUCACUCUCUCUUGUGUACGGUAGAGAUGAUGACAACUGAGGGGGACAAAUGUAAAAUAUAUGACAAGAACAUGUUGUGUUAGAGGGAUUAAUAUAAUUCGUAAGGAGUCUAAUGUGAAAUUUGCAAUAUUAAGAGGUUUUGGUGGUUGAUUCUCCAUAGCUUUUAGUUAGGUAUUACAAGGACCUAUAGAAAUCUGUUACCACAUGAAUUUUAUCUCGAGGGUUAAGUCUUCAUUAUAGUGUAGUCUGUUACCAUUUAUUGUUUUCUUGUUAGUAGAUGGUCGAGUUGGAAGGCAGGGUUCUCAAUGAAAAAGAAAUGGAUACCUUUACUCUUAGACAUAUCUUAUCUUUUUUUUCAUUGUAAUGUUUUAGAUUGGAACAGACCAUUCCUUGUGCAAUGACAACAAUAAUGCCUUGGGCUGGCAGUCAUCAAUAGGGGGGCUUUGAGUCUCAAAAAUGGCCUCCUUGUGCAACACUGCUAGAGUUGGGAUCAUAUCCAACUCGCCUUUCCCAAUCACCACUUAAUGGCCCUUUAUGUUUUAGAUUAGAUGUUAUAUGUUCAUAAUGAUGGUAAACAACCAUUUCCUCAAUAUGUUUGGGCAUAACUUAGGGUACUUCUUCUGGAUCUGUGGUUCAUGAAGUUAAGUGGAGAUCUACCAGUGAGAAAUGAUGUGUUGGGGAAGUUGCAGAUACUGGUAGAUCCUUUAAUAUGAUCAUACAAAUGGACUUUAGUGAACGUUUCAGGGAAUUGGGUCUUACAGGGAUACAUGAGGGUGAAUAAGUCUUGUACUGGUCACUGUUACAGGGGAGUGGCAGUUUUUCUUCAUAUUCCUCAGCACAUUGCAUGGGAAUGGGAAAGAGUGAAAUCGGGAACUUAGGAUAAAUUGUCUGCAUUUGAUUAACUUCUUUUUCUGACAUCCUUCAUUCUUUAUUUUUAAUUUUUAAUAACUUUAGAUUGACUUCUUUAUCUGGGUCCAUUUGGGAGUUAUUCUUCAAGGGUUAGAAGCGCUCCCUAAUGUUUGGAAGCAUUUUCUUUACAAAAAUUAUGUGUUUGGCAAAAAUUUAAUUCAAUUUUUUUUUAUGUGUAAAAUGAGAGUAUUGUAUAAAAAGAGUGUGAAAAUGAGUGCAGCGAAGUACAUUAGACAUAUAUAAUGAUCAUCAAAAAGCGUAAACAAAAAGUAAAAGGGACAAUAAAAACUACUUCCUCACUUAAUAAAAAUCCAACCAAUCAACAAAGUCAAUUAAGAACAUUGGGCCUUCAUCUAUAGACAACUUGGUCCAAGAUAGCAAAUUACAAAAAAAAAAAAAAAAAGCUUUUUAGCCUUUGGUAAGAAAGUUCUCUGUUUUUAAACAAUCUUCUAUUCGUCUCCUUUUAAUUUUUCUAAAAAAGGCACAAAUGAGUUGCUUCCCACACUUUUUUUAGUUUCUUCACAACAAAGGAACCAUACCAUCUUAAGAAGGCCUUUCUAAUGAAGGAAGAUAACACCUAAGACACGUCAAAAAGAGAAAAUAAUAGCUGCCGCAAAACCUUCGUCUUGCCACAAUGAAGAAGGAUGUGAUCAAUUGAUUCCUCAUAGAUAUCGCAAAGGAAACAUUUAUUAGCCAAUGUCCAACCUCUUCUUUGAAGUUCAUCCAAGGUCAAAAUUUUUUCCACAAAGACAAAGAAAAUAAGGAAGCUAGAUAAAGUGCUCUGGAUUAGAGUGAGUCUUAUCUUUUGCAAAUAUAUUGCCUUUUCCACAUUGCCAAUCUUUUACAAACCUCAAUUCCUCCUUAUUCCAAAUUGCAAGUAUUAUAAGGGCACCUAAGGAAAGAAGAGGUUGGACAUUGACUAAUAGAGGUUGGACAUAGGCCGCGAGUAUUAGCUAAUGACCUUCUUCCAUUUGCAUUAGCCGUUUUGAGAAAGAAAUUAGUAUUUCUAUCGCCUUCCUUUAACCAUGCCUCCCUUGAUUUCUACCUCUAAGAAGUUUCUUGCAUAAGAGCCCAUUUACGAUACUCCGCCCUUGCUUCCAACCUCGCAUCCACCUCUUCUUGAGAUAAAGCACUUGUUCUCCCCUUAGAAUCCUAGAAACCCACUUAGGGAAGAACCAAUUCCUUUCUAACUAUAACAUUACCAAAAUCCUCUUUGUUGCAACUUUUCAAAUUAGACUUUAAAGCGUUCAAUUUCAUUGCCAAGAUGAAACUAUAAGGUCCCCCUUAAAGCUGAACCCCAACCACCAUCUCUUUAGAAUAUCUUUGAAAGCCCUUUUCCUUAAGCCACAUAUUUUGAAUCUAAAUGGAGCAAAACUUCUCCUCAACUCUAUCUCCAUCUAACAAAAUGGGGCGAAUGAUCCAAUACAGGUUUGGGUAAGAUNNNNNNNNNNNNNNNNNNNNNNNNNNNNNNNNNNNNNNNNNNNNNNNNNNNNNNNNNNNNNNNNNNNNNNNNNNNNNNNNNNNNNNNNNNNNNNNNNNNNCCCCCACCCCCCUUUUUUUAGAAUUUUUUUGAAACCCCUUUUUCUUUACCCCAAUUUUUGGAAUUUAAAAGGGACAAAAUUUUCUCUUAAUUUUUUUCCCCUUUAAAAAAAAGGGGGGAAAGGUCCCAACCCGGUUUGGGUAAAAAUAUUUCCCCCCCCCCCAUAAAAAGACCUUCCCCCCUUUUUAACCCCAAAAAGGGGUUUUAUUUUUUUUGGGGUUUAUUUUUUAAACCACACAACCCCCCCCCCCCCCCCCCGGCAACACACACCCCCCAAAUAAAAGGGCCUUGAAGACAACCUACUGACUUUAUUGCUCUUCCUUGGAAAUUUGACAAUCUUAAAAUCUUUUGCAAUGCACCAAUGGUCAUUCUACAAUUCCCUAAUCAACCCAAACUUAGCCCCGAAGGCCGCUUUAUCCUUCCUUAGAGAUGGACCAUACAUCCUUGUGAAAAUCCAAAAAACAGUCAUCACAAUUUUUAAAAUGACCCGAUAUCGAGCACUCACCAUCUUCCAUGCAAACCAUUUGUAACACCCUAUUGUCCCAAAAACCAAGACCCUGCUUGUAGCACCCAUUGAGUUCACUACACCCUAAUCCAAGAAUCUUCCCAUUCCUGAGCUUUGCACCAAGCUAGUUGACGUAUUUUGGAUUGUUUCCUAUAAACAGACCAAGUAUGCUCUCUGCAAUUUAGUCAAAGACUUUAUAAUCAUCCUUUUAGCAUUGUCAUUAGCCUAUUUCACAUUCCAAUAUAAAAUUUUUAAUUUCAUUUGUGACUUGAUGAGAUAACCCAAUCUUCUCUACUCAAUCAUUCCUUUGUUCCUGCUCCAUUCUAGUUCAUUAAACACUCUAGCUUCUUAAGCUCUCUUUCAAAUCUUGAAAAUACAAAUUUAUUUCUUCUUCUAUGAUACACUCAAUACCCUUAUAAAUGUAUUGUAUGUCCCCGAUAUGAAUAAAAAUUUGGUUAGUGGGGAUUUGCUUGGCAAACCGGGUAUCAAAGUGGCGUUUGAAUCCGGUAAGCUAAUUUUAUCCAAAUCGGGGAACUUUGUGGGAAAGGGGUAUUCUUGUGAUGGGAUGAUCAAACUUUGUACCAAUGACAAUAUCAAUAAAAUGACGUCUACUUCCGCUUAUAUGUGUGAUUCAAAUUCUUUAUUUUUGUGGCAUAAUAGGCUUGCACAUGUUGGUUUAAGCACUAUUAAAAGGAUUGUGAAAUGUGGUUUGAUUGCUUGUGAUACCAAGAAAUUUGAAAAGUGUGAAAUAUGUGUUAAAUCAAAGAUGAUUAAAAAGCCUUUUCAUAGUGUUGAGAGAUCAUCUAAUUUGUUUGAUUUAAUACAUAGUGAUCUUUGUGAACUUAAUGGCAUGUUAACAAGAGGUAGAGUUCUUUGAGAAUUUGUUGAGUGAUAGCAAUUCUCAAGUACCUACUAGUGUUGGAGAGUCUCUAGAGGAGACACCUUCAAAGGUUGUUGAGCAACCCAUUGUGCCUUGGAAAAGCCAAAGAGCUAGAAAAGAGAAAGUGUUGGGAUCGGAUGAGAUUGACUCUCAAAGCAAACCUAAUCCAAGAAGAAAAACCUUUGCUUCUCUUCAAGAUUUUUCCUAUCAGCUUCCUUCAAUCUCCUCUAUUGAGAUUUCAAAGGACUUGGAUUCCAUUGCAAACCAACUCCUACCUCCUCCCAUCAAAUUUUAAAAUUACUUCUAAAAAUCUAGAGAAUCACUUGAAAUAAUAUUUGAAUUAGCAUAAUGUAAGUGCUUCUUCCAAAAUCACUUUUUUUGUUAUGUAUUCCACUACCAGAAACACUUUGAAAACACUUUUUGGUUUAUAUCCAAACCUUAACUAAUUUUCUAUAGAAGUGUUUUUGAUAGAAAUGUUACCUGUAGAAGUGUUGUCUACCAACAUAAGUGUUAAGGCUAAAAGCGCUUUUAUGAGAAUCAGUGCCAAAAAAGCCUUGAUGUUAUUUAACAGUUCACUUUUCAUAGGCUUAUGGUUAUGUAAGUCAAGCAGUUUAGCAGUUGGAGUGCUUUAUGGGAAAUGAUAUAAACAGCAUGGAGUGUAUAUUUUGUUCAUUGUUUCCUUAGUCAGUGGUCUAGCCUGCUUUAGAUUCAUGAAGGGGCUUAAUUAUGAACGUUAUGAAGUGAUUUUGUUGUUAAUUACUUUUCAAUUUUUGCUGCUAUACCUGAGAAGUUAUCAGAGAUUUUUUCUGUUUCUGGGUGAGAAUCUUUUUUACAGUAAUGCACUGUUUGCCUCUAUUGAUUAAUCAAUCCAUUUUAGUCCUGGCAGCUUUUUAGCUUUCCACUUUUUGUAUGCCAUUUGUUUCUCUUCAUGUUUAUGUUAUAUGUUCAUGCAUUAAUUUGCUGAAUUUGUGGCAUUAAUUCUGAGCAGAGCAGGGCUAUAGUGUGGUGCUUCCAGAGAAAUUGGAGACAGGAAAGUGGAAUGUCUACAGGUAGGAAUUUUCCUCUUUUGUUUUGUUUUGUGUUUUUUUCCCCCACUUGGUCAUUCAUUCUCAACUUGUUAAGAUUUCAUUUUCCUUGGCAGAUCUGCACAGUCUCCUUUGAGGCUUGUGAGUAGAUUCCCUGAUCAUCCUGAAAUUGGUACAUUGCAUGAUAAUUUUGUGUGAGUAUCGCUCUGUUUAUUUGGCUAAAUUACAACUGAGUUUUGUUACAAUUGUCAAUGCUAGUUUUUAUAUUUGACUGCCCAUGUAUUUUUUGCAUUUAGAAAAUUAUCUAAAUUAUUUCUUCCAACAUUUUGAGGAUAGGCACUCAGUUGAGACCUUCCGUGAUUACAAGUAUUUGGGUACACGAAUUCGAGUUGAUGGAACAGUUGGAGAGUAAGUUGCUCAUCUGAAUAACUUUGCUAUUUCAUCAUUGAAGUUCCCUUAUUCAUUUGCAUUCAUUGCCUACACUUUCAAGGUACAAAUGGAUGACAUAUGGAGAAGCAGGUACUGCUCGAUCAGCAAUUGGUUCUGGUUUAAUAUACUAUGGAAUACCGAAAGUGAGUUGUCCAAAUUCUAAAUUAAGUUUGAACAUUGUCAUGCACUCUUAAUUUUGUUCUUGGAUUGGACUUAUGUUUUUCUAAAAUGUUUUGUGAAAACAUCUACUCAAGAUUUUCAAAUCCAUUCUUUCUUAACAUUUGGUUAUCCAUUGAUUUUCCUUUUUUUUUUUUUAAAUUUUCUUUAAUGCUGUAACAGGGAUCUUGUGUUGGCCUAUAUUUUAUCAACAGACCUGAGUGGCUCAUUGUUGAUCAUGCCUGCUCUGCAUUUUCAUAUGUAUCAGUUCCUUUAUAUGACACUCUUGGUUCGUAAUUGGUUAUUGUAUAAAACUUUAUCGGACUUUUGCCUAGCUUGGCCAAACCACUGCUACAAAUCUACUAAAGCUUAACAAAGCCUUGAUAAUUGUUGCUCUGCAGGUCCAGAUGCUGUCAAGUAUAUUGUAAAUCACGCUGUCUUACAAGCUAUAUUUUGUGUGCCACAAACGUUAAACUCUGUGAGCUCAUUUUUCUUUUUUUUAUGGAUGUAUUUUAACAUUAAGAAAUGCAUAUUGAGCUCAGGGUCAAGUAUCAUUCAUGUCAUUAAGAAUUUGUCUUUCUAUUCUUAAUUCUGUUAGUCUAGGAAGUUGGUUAGAUCCUCGUCAAUUUCUACCUUGCUUACUGUAGCCACGUUGAAUGUGGAGUUGAUGAAUGAAUGAAAUAUGGAGCUAAUACUUAGAUCAUAUCAAGAACUAAAAAUCAUUCUUCUUAUUCUGCUUCACUAAUUGAUUAAUAUCAUAUGUUACUUCUUUGUUUCUUCUCAUGAGAAUCUGGUUUAUAAUUCUUAAUGUGCUUUGCUAUUUAUUUUUGUCUUCUUUCUUGGAAUUUGCAGUUGCUGAGCUUCUUGUCUGAGAUCCCAUCCGUACGUUUAAUAGUGGUAUAAAAGGCUAUAUCUGAUCUUUCUUAAUUGAAUGUCUGGAUAAGCUAACAUUGGCUUUAGUGCUAAUGUAUGGUUUUCAUGAAAGUUCGUUAUCUGCUUUCCUUUUUACACAGGUAGUUGGAGGAAUAGACGAUCAAAUGCCAUCACUUCCAUCAACAACUGGAGUUGAGGUUGUAUCAUAUUCAAAACUACUCAAUCAGGUAAUUGCAUGCUCCUUCUCUGUUCCUCUCCUGCCUCUUUGAUUGUUUGUUUGUUUUUCUCCUGUGGAGGGUUGGUCCUCUCCAUAUUGAACUCCUAUCCCUUGCCACCUACACAGGCCUCAGGAAUAUAAUGACAUGAUCUUUCCUUAAGACAAAUCCUUAAUGUUUUUCUGCAUCACUACAAUGAGAAUUGAUAUAGUAAAAAUCCUUCAUUCGAAAGGAGGAUUAUGGGGAAUGGGAUUAGGUUUUAUGUUGUGAUUUGGUAAUUUUGUUGUUAUUGUGUUAUCCUUUGCUGUUUAAGGGAGCAUUUGGAUUAGGUUUAUGCUGUGAUUUGGUAAUUUGUUGUUGUUUUAUUGUCCUUUGUCAUUUAAGAAGGCAUAAAGUGUAAUAUUUCCAUUUUCACCUGCAUCUUUCCAUCACAGAUGAUUUUGUAAUUUCAUGUGAUUAUCCUUUGUUUAUUUGCUGGUAGUGAUGUAUGAAUAUAUGUAUGUGGCAUUAGUUUCUUGGAGCAUGGUGACAUCUCUAUGUUAUCGAAAGCUGCUUGAUGUUAUGCAUGAACUGAUGCCUUUAUUUUUAUUUUAUUUUAACCCUCAGUUCUUAAGCGUUGCAGCUUGUUUAACCCUAGUUGUUCUCUCUGUCUGGUAUAUUGAAUUCCAUUGCAUACAUGCACCCUCAUGACCCAAGUUCCUGUUAAUUGAUUUUGGAGAGUUGUGCAUACCUUGUGUCAAAAUGUCAUGUCAUGUUCAUACCACAAAUAAUAGCACUGGUUUUUUGGUUGAUUAUGAUCUUCAUGUCUCAUACUUCUAUUGAACAUAAGCUGCUCUUAGCCCAUCUAGGUAUCACAUUCUUUUACACUUCUUAUCAAUGUUCUGUUUCAAGAUUAUAUAAUGAUAUUGCAAAUCCUUUUUUUUUUUUUUUAAUUAUAAAUUAAAUUAAAUUAUUUUCUCACAGUAAUCUAAUGGUUUCCUUAUUUUACAAUGGUUCCUUUUAGGGUCGCAGUCGUCCCCAACCUUUUUGCCCCCCAAAGCCUGAUGAUGUUGCAACCAUUUGCUAUACAAGUGGUACAACUGGGACACCUAAGGUAUACUUUAGUUCCUGUGAACUUCAGUUUUCUGAUCAUGAAGCUCAAGUAUUCCCCAAGAAUGACAUGACUGUCUAUGUAAUUAAAUAAAGUUAUUUAUUUAUUUAUAUUUUUUGGUGACUAUGGUAAGGGAGCUGUACUGUCCCAUGGAAACUUGAUUGCUAAUGUUGCUGGGGCCACUCUUUCCGUCAAAUUUUACCCCUCAGAUGUGUGAGUCCUAUUAAUAUGCAAUUGUUGUGCAUUAUGUUCUGUCUUUCUGUCUUAUCUGAAUUACCUGUUAUUCUUUCAGUUACAUAUCAUAUCUUCCUUUGGCACACAUCUAUGAACGGGCCAACCAGGUCAUGACAGCAUAUUUUGGAGUUGCAGUUGGAUUCUACCAGGGAGUAAGAUACUUAACAUUUCUUAUUUAAUUCAAGUCUAUGAAAUUUACUAAAUUUUUUACCAUUCCAAUUCAUGGUGCAAUCUAAGCAAUUUCCAUUCCAAUUCUUGGUGCAAUCUAUGCAUCUCUGACCUGGGAAGUGAAGUGUAGACAUGUUUAUCUUGAUUUGACUUUAUCUGGUAUCCCUUUUCCCAACAACUUAGUCUGUUGGGGUAAGCUGGAAUCUGACUUGGUGUCAUAUCAAACUUCUGAUUCACUGAGGUCUUGGGUCAGACCUCUCCAAGAACCUUUGUUUGUUCCCUCAUUUGUUUAUCUGUUUGCAUGCCUGCCUCUCCAUGUGUGGGUGUAGGGGUGGCUGGGUUGUAGUGCCGUAGUGUCACCAUCAGCCUGUGUACCAAAGGAAAAAAAUAAGAAAAAGGAAAAGGAAAAAAUGUAAACAUAGAGAAGGGAGCGGAUUUUUCUAAGGUACUAUGCAAAAUAUAAUUCAUUAUGAUCAUAAUUUUGUUUCCAAAAGUGAAAGGAAGGUAUUCCCGACUUGGUGGUGGUUCAUUUGUUUGUCGUUCCUUAAAAUGUAUAAAGUUCAUUACUUCUCAAUGGAACACAAUGCUGUGAGUUCUUCCCUUUUUCUAUUCAUAUUCUUGCUAAAGUUGUUGAAAUGUGAUCGAUGUGAUAUAUCUGAUGUAGGAUAACAUAAGCACCCUUUUUCACGUAGAAGAGAAAUUGACUGAGAAAGGAGUUAGAUGAGAGAAGAAGAAAUUAGAUGAGAAAUUAUGAGAGGAGAAUGGCUAUAAGAAAGGUCUAGAUUCAGAAGAUAAAGGGAUGAGAUCAAUAGGUUGACGAGGAGAAUGAUCAUAAAUGAUCUCAAAUAUUUACCAAAUUGUUAUAGGCAAACUCUAUUGAUGGCAACAUCGAAUCCCAAUUACCUUGUUUCUCUCUGACAAGACUCUUAAGCAAGUCUUCUAAGCUACAUUUAACAACCUCACUUUGACCAUUGGUUUGAGGAUGACAAGCUAGGAGAAUUUCAUAUGUGCCAAAAAUUCUUUGAAGUGUAUUCCAAAAAUAAUUAACAAAUUUGAUAUCUUUAUCUGAUGCUAAUAAUUUGGUUAAACAUGAGGCUUCAAUUGUUUUACUACAAGGGAUAACAUGUGUUAUCUUAAAAAACCUGGCUACCACAACAAAAAUAGAAUUAUGCCCUUGAUUUGAUUUUGGUAACCCCAAGAACAAAAUCCAUACUAAUGUUGCUUUAAGGGGUGCUAUACCAAGGUGUCUACAAUGUAUUGUGUCUCUUCUUUGUCUUAGCUUGCUGACAAGUCAACACUAUGACUCAAUUUUGAUCAUUCUCAACUUGGAUCUCAAAUCUUCAAAGCUGGUUCUAGAAAGCACCUUGGUAAGGAUGCAUGUUGUUUGGAGAGCUCUUGGAGUGUAAACCAAUGAAAUUUUCCCAUUCUCUAUCUUCUCCUUAGUAAAAUGAUGAUCUAUUUCCACAUGCUUUGUCUAAUCAUGAUGAAUGGGGUUCUUAGCAAUACUUAUGGUAGCUUGAUUGUACAAAACAUCUUUAUAGAAUCUUUUACUAGAAUUUUCAGCUUGUUUGGGAGUCUUUUUAACCACAUUCCUUCACAGAUUCCAUGUGUCAUAGCUCUAAAUUCUGCUUCUACGCUGCCCUGAGCUACAACAAACUGUUUUUUGCUUUGCCAUGUAACCAAAUUCCCCCAUAUAUAGUUGCAAUUUCUUAAAGUUGAUCUUCUAUCAGUUAUGGAUCCAAUCCAAUUUGCAUUUGAAAAAACCUUAAUGUUUCUCUUUUGUGUUCUUUUGAAAAAGAGUCCCUUUCUUGGAGUCAUUUUGAAAUAUCUUAGAAUAUGAUACACAACUUUCAUAUGUUGCUUUGUUAGAUUGUUCAUGAAUUAGCUAAUACAUUGACUGUAAAAACAAUGUCUGGUCUUGUGUGUGAGAGAUUGAUGAGUUUGUCCACAAAUCUUUGACAUCUUCCUUUAUUCAUCGGUCUGGUUUGGUUUGGUUAGGCUAUCUAUAGGGCGUAGUUGUUGGUUUUUGUGUCUUCGCUUCUUUCUUUUUGGGUGUUUUGGUUGCUUUGUAUACAUCAUGUAUGCUUUCUUCUCUCUUUAAUACAUUUUUCACUUACCAAUAAAAAAAAAAUCCCCCUUUAUUCACCAUAGCACUUUGAUAGUUUCUAGUUUAGUAGUGUAGUCCAUAAGUGUGUUUGCAUGUUUACAAUCAAACAUCCCAAUCUCCUUUGGUAGUUUGGCCCAUUCAAUUUGUGUCCAAUAAUGAAAAGAGGAGCACCAUCUAAUCCUCCAUGUUGCUUGGAAUAGGAGCUUCUUGAGUGGAGUCCUUGGUGGCCAUUCCGUAUUUGGUCAUGAACACAUUGAAUGGUUUAAAUUCUGCUCUGAUACCAUGAAGAAAUUUGAGGGAGAAAAUAAUGUUUUUUUUUUUCAAAUUGAUUAUAGUAUAAGUAUUUAUACACGAUGUUACCCUUGAAAAGAAAUCUAAUCCCUGGUUUUUAGGAGAGAAUAUCUCACAAUUGUAAAUUCGCAUGAAUAAUGAAUAUCUCACAACUGUAUCUCAUAACUGUAAAUUCACAUGAAUAUCUCACAGUUGUAUCACUCAGUUGUAACACAGUUGGAAUCUCACAGCUGUAACACAACCAUCAAUUCCUAAUUAAUCCGAAUUUCCACACUAUUUAACUUCCAAAUCAAGAAAUCUCAAAUAAAGAUGAGAAAACUACAUAGCUUAUACCAUCUAAACAAGUAGCCAUCACAAAUUAUAGAAUCAACGUGAUCUCAACGAUGACCAUUUUGAAUUUAUCGGAAAAGGACAUCAAAAUCAAGACAAUUAAGGGCUUGUUUGCAAAUGUUUUCGAAAACAAUUGUUUAGAACAGUUCUCUAAUGUUUACUUAAACAAAAGUUUGUGUUAGGAAAUUGAGGCUAAUCCAAACUAUGGUAAUCAUCCUAAGAGGGGGGGGGGGGGGGGGGGAAAAAGGGGGAAGGGCCCUUUUUUCCCAAUUUUAACCAUGCAAAAAAAAAAAAAAAUUUUAUGCCAAAAUUUAAAAAAACCAAUUUCCUAUAAUUUAAAAAAAUUUGGGAAAAAAAGGGGGAAAAAGGAAAAUUUUUAGGGGUUUAAAAUUUUUUUACCAAAUCCCCCCCCCCCCAACCCCCAAAAAAAGGGGGGGUUCCCCAUUUUUGAAACUUCAACCAACCUUCCAACCCCUUUAAAAUUGGGUAAAGCUUUUAAUUCCCCCCCUUGGAAUUUUGGGCCCAACCCCCCUUUUACCUUUUUAAAAAUUUCCCCCCCCUUGAAAAACCCCCGAAGGAGACCCCCCCCCUUGGAAAAAUUCCUCUCAAAGGUAUACAAAGAUUGAUCUCACAAAAAUCCUAGUAAUAGAACUUUAGGCUCAAAGAUACAAGAAAAACUAGGAUUGAAUGGUGCACUCAAGAUAUGCAAGUUAUGAAACAAUGGUGUACUCAAAAACACUGUUCUAAGGCUCAAAUAUAUUCAAGAAUGAUUUGGGAAGGUUAAGCUUAUGAAACAAUGAAGAUUGGAGCCUUUUUAUAGAAGAAAAAAGUCAAACUAGCAGUUGGGGGUUCGACCGGUCGAGCUGAGGGUCGACCGGUCGAGCUGAGGGUCGACCGGUUGACUAGCCGUUAGGAAAAGUGACCGUUGGUCCUCAACCGGUUGAGGUUCAACCUUGACCGGGAAGAGAAGGCCACUGGGAGAGAAAGAAACUUUUUGGCCUCCUUUAACCGGUCCUCGACCGGACGAGCACAAUCGGUCGACCGGUUGAGCCAUUUUUUUGGCUCAACACUCAAUCUUUUUCAACUUAAAACCUUUUAACACAAGUUUGAAAAUCAUUUAACACAAGGUUUUAGUUGAAAACAUGAAAUCAUCAAAUUCUUAAGAUAUUUAAAACAAUAUUACUCUUAGAUGAUUUUGGUGCAUAAAUAAAGAAUGAAAUGCAUGAAAGUCUUAGUGCACCAACAACCUUACAAAGAGAUCUUAAGAAGUUUUGGUCUUGAAAAACUCUUCUCUUUGAGGUGGUCUUCUUCUUCAUGAUUUCUCCUUGACUUGAUUUGUCUUUGGAUUGCCACUUUGGAAGUCGUCUUGCCUAAUCACACUUAAAAUAUGAUCAUUAGUUCUAAACCUUGUUUUGUUAUCAUCAAAAUCAAGAUUAACCAAACCUUGAUUUCACAAUCUCUNNNNNNNNNNNNNNNNNNNNNNNNNNNNNNNNNNNNNNNNNNNNNNNNNNNNNNNNNNNNNNNNNNNNNNNNNNNNNNNNNNNNNNNNNNNNNNNNNNNNAAAACCUUUUAACACAAGUUUGAAAAUCAUUUAACACAAGGUUUUAGUUGAAAACAUGAAAUCAUCAAAUUCUUAAGAUAUUUAAAACAAUAUUACUCUUAGAUGAUUUUGGUGCAUAAAUAAAGAAUGAAAUGCAUGAAAGUCUUAGUGCACCAACAACCUUACAAAGAGAUCUUAAGAAGUUUUGGUCUUGAAAAACUCUUCUCUUUGAGGUGGUCUUCUUCUUCAUGAUUUCUCCUUGACUUGAUUUGUCUUUGGAUUGCCACUUUGGAAGUCGUCUUGCCUAAUCACACUUAAAAUAUGAUCAUUAGUUCUAAACCUUGUUUUGUUAUCAUCAAAAUCAAGAUUAACCAAACCUUGAUUUCACAAUCUCUCCCUUUUUUAUGAUGACAAAACCAAGGUUGCUAAAAAGCUCCCCCUCAAUAUAUGCUCCUUUGAAUUUAGAAAAUAUUCAAGUUUAGAAACUUCAAGGAGUAUAUUAAGGAUGCUCAAAAUGAUAUAAUUAAACAUAAAUAACAUAAAGAGCAAUUUAGCAAUUUGGCAAGACAUUAUUAUUAAAUAUGAUGCAUACAAAUAUAACCAAAAAAACACAUAACAUCAAUAUGAAUAGGAUUGCUAAAACAAUAUUUGAAAUAUCUUCCCAAGUUAGCAACCUACCAUUACUUCUCCCCCUUUUUGUCAUCAACAAAAAGUUUCAAUAAAACAUAUAAGGGGAAUCACAUGUUUAUCAAAAGUUUAAAAAAUAAACAAUAAGCAUGAUAUGAUUUCUCAUGAAAAUGAAUCUCCCCCUUUUUCAUUUGAGAAUAGUUUCCAAAUAAAAGAUUGCUCAUCUUUAGAGCAUUCCCAAUUUAAAGCAUGAUUUGGAAAAAUAUAUAUGGGAGAACAUAUGCAUUUAAAAAGAUAUAUAAUAUGCAUUGAAUAACAUAUUUAGGGCAUACAAGCAUAUGAUCAUUUAAUUUUACAUAGGUAUAUAUAAAAAAUCUUCUUUUUAAAUCCAAAACCUUGGUUUAACAGAUAUGCCAAUUUUAUCAAAGUGAUACCAAAAGUUAUAUUAUCAAAAGAUAUACCAAGUGUUAGCAAAAUGAUACCAAUUGCAAAUUUAGCUUUAAAAGGGAUACCAUUACCAAUAUUAUCAAUGCAUUUCUUCCAAGGUAAGCAUAUCCUCCUUUUUGCAUGGAUCCCUACAAAACAAAUUUAGUAACUUUUGGUACCCAUAUCCUUUUGGGUCCUAGAGGGUUAGUCUUUCUUCCCUUUGGAAUCCAAAGUAAUUUAGAGUUUUGAAGAACAUGAGGAGAUUUUCUUAAGGGACAAAUAUUACUAAUGUGACCUCAUUUUUCACAAAAAUUGCAAAUAGUUGAAGGUGAAAAACUAGAGGCUUCCUUUUAAAAAAAAAUGAAUUUUUUUUUUUUGAAAAGCUUAUAGGCUAGCCUCCUUUUAUUAAAAAUUGCAUUUUUGAUUUGCCAAAAUCAUAUCAAAGGUCUUUUGGCCAUUUGAGAAUUUUUAACUCCUCAUUUUCCUUUUCAAAAGAGAUUUUUGCCUUUUCAAUAUUUUCAAAAUUUUCAUUAUGCUCAUUGAGCUCAUUUUGAAGACAAGAAUUCUUUUUCUUGAGAGAAAUAUUUUUGAAAACAAGUUUUUCAAUAUCAAAAUAUAAUUCUUGAAGUGCAUCUUGAAUUUCAAAAUGGUUGGAGUUGGAGUUUACCUCAUCACUUUCACUUUCACUUUCUUCCUCUUCAUCAUCAUUUGUUAUAGCCAUAAAGGCUAUACUUUUCUCAUUUUCUUCAACUCUUCGAUGAUUGUACAACUCUAUCUCAUAAGUCAUGAGUGACCCAAUGAGUUCUUCAAGUGAGAACUUGGUGAGAUCCUUUGCUUCUUGAAUAGCCGUCACUUUUGUUUCCCAUUUAUUUGGUAGAGACCUUAAGAUCUUCAUGACUUUCUCUACUUCGGUGUAGGUCUUUCCCAAGGCUUCUAGUUCAUUCACAAUCACAAGAAACCUAGAAAACAUCUCAACAAUAGAUUCAAAAUCCUUUAUAGAAAAUAAUUCAUAAUCAUGCAUAAGGAUAUUGAUUUUAGACUCUUGAACUUGGUCGUUUCCCUCAUAAGUGACUUCUAAUAGUUUCCAAAUUUCUUUAGCCGACUUACAAUGCCAAAUACGAUUAAAUUCAUUUCUAUCAAUAGCACAAUGUAAGAUAAAAACAGCUUUGACAUUUAAUUGAACUUUCUUUCUAUCAAGUUCAUCCCAUUCAUGCUUAAGUUUUGGAACCAUCACUCCAUUUUCUAAUUUUGAAGGAAUGUGGGGACCAUCUUCAAUGACAUCCCAUAAAUCAAGAUUAGUAGAUUGGAUAAACCAAGUCAUUUUGGUUUUCCAAUAGGGAUAAUCGGUUCCCGUGAAAAGUGGAGGUCGGGUGGUUGAAAAACUUUCAAGUUGGGAUGAGGUUGAUGGAAUAGCCAUUACUUCUUAGACAGUUAAGUCUUAACAAGAAGCCUUGCUCUGAUACCAGUUUGUUUGGAAACUUAAAAUGUUCUCAAUCUUUUUUAUGUGUUUUCAAAUAUUUCUUAAAAACAAAUUUUAUUUGUGAUACUUUAUUUUCAAUCAUUUUCAAUAUUUAUACAAUUAUUUUUUAAGACAGUUCUAAAAAAAACAAGUAAAACAAUUAAAUCAUGUUAUUAGAAAACACUAUAUUUUUAUAAUAAGUUCUCAAAAAAAUUACCGAAUGUGUUUUCAAAUUUGGUAAAUAGUUCCCAAAUAGGCUCCAAGAUACCCAUAUUUCAUUCUCUCAAAUUCAACCACAUGGACACUCGUAGCUUUUAAAAUGGCCACUUCACGGCAUCAACACCUUUAUUCUCAAUUCCCGCAUGAUGGUGUGGAGAACAAAUGUGUAUUCUUGAAGAAACUCUUAUCCCUUACUAUGAUUGGCUCUCAACUUACUUUGAGAACUAAGAUACCUUAAUGCUUGAUGGUCAAAGUACAACACAAACUCUUAAGGUACUAGAUCAUACUUCCAAUGACGAAGUGCUUGCAAAACAACAUAGAACUUUUUAUGAUAAAUGGAAUACCUCUAUUUAGUCUCAUUGGGUUUCUUACUAAAGUAUACAAGAUGCCCUUCUUGACUUCAGACACCACCUAUGCCAACCCCUUAUGCGUCACCUGCCACCUCAAAGACUUUUGAAAAAGUUGGAUUGCUUAAGUAGGUGCUUUAGUCAUUUGUCAUUUUAAAAGCUCUUUAAAAAUUUGGAUGACUAAGACUAUGUUGAAUAGAACUGUUUUCAAUAGUCUUAGCCCUUGUGCUGUCCUAGUCUUGCUCACCCUUACCAUGACAAUGGUGACACUAUGUUAGAACCACUAGAUUGAAGAGUACUUGAAAUGGACUCUCCACCCUUAUCGUUGCUUACUCCCCUGACUAGUGUUUUUACUGCCAUGUGAAGUGAUUUGAGUGACUUUAACACUGCUAGUAUCUCUGUGGUUGUCUCCGACCCUAGCUAGAGAUAAUCCUUGUGAACAAUAAGACUUCCUAGUUUGAGAAAUCCUAAGAUCUGUCUCUAAAGCCUUGUGAUAGGCUUCUUCUAAAGUGUUUUUACUUCUCUUUUAAUUUGUGGUCUCAAUCCAUUGAUAAAUUUUGCCAGAGUUACCCAAGAUUCCUCCCUUGCAUUGAAGCCUCUUAGAAUGAGCUAAGUAGUCUUUGACAUUGGAAGAUAAUUGCUUGAGGUUAAUUUCACAUUUCAGGCCAAAAGGUGAUUGGUUCUUCACCUAAUCACACUAGGUUAGAUGUGACACUUUGCCAAUAUUGCUUUACAGAGCCAACAAGUUUCAUUCUGGUGAAGUAAAUGUGUUGGGUGUCCUACAUAUCAUUAAAAGCAAUCCUCAAGAUUUGCUAAUCGUUCAUCAUAACUAGGGGCAUCUACUUGAACCUUCUUGGUUGUAUUCACUUGAAUUAUCAUUGUGGCUGUCAUGAAUGGGUCAUUCUCACCCAUGUCUCCUAGUCCAUCAUGAGGGUCAUUAUUGAUUGUGUAAUUUUGGGCUCUACUUCCCCUUAUAGUUUUUCUAAGGUUCUCUUAUUGUGCAUUUAUCAGUGUGGUUAAGAGACCUUAGCAUGACCAUGGACUCUCAAAAGGAAUAAGAUUUGGUUCAUUGGUAGGCAUUCCAAAAUGAGAGUCUACACUAUUUUUGUUCUAAGGUGUAGAAACUGGGUGACUCAAACUGAUGUCUUUGGUUAGACAUACCCAAAUUGACUUGUAAUUAGGAGAAUUGCCUAGCCUUCUCAGAAUGAAAUUCAAUCAAUUCAGAACAAAAUUCUGUUUGAAAGUCAUUACAGAGUUGUCUAUAGAAUUCUGUUGAAGCAAAUUGGGUCAUGGAGAUGACUCAAGGACCCUGAAUGAAGAAAGCAUAAAAAAAAUAAAUCAUGAGAUAGGUGUAUAAGGAUUUUUUUUUUCCUUUUUAAAAAAAAAAUUAAAGUAAGGGUGCGAAUGAAAAGAAAAUUAAAGGGUUUGAUUUGAAGAAUGAGAGCUUUAAACUAGCUCACAACCAGAUCUCAAGAUGGGCCGACAAAUUAUUGACUUUCCAAGUAAUAAAAAUAUUAGUCAACUUCAAUGAGAGAAUGCAUACCUUAUCAAUUCUACAAUUAAUCUCUAGCGUAAACUUCUUAUGAUGGCUUUUUUUUUCCUUUUAUUAUGAUGGCCUUUUUUUUUUUUGAUGGAUUUAUUUGCUUUAAUACCAAAUUGUUGUAGGACAAUGGAAGCACUUUAUUUAUUUAUUUUUAUUUUUGUUCUUUUAAAUAUAGAAGUGAAAUUAGCUAAGAAAGGAGUUAGACUAGAAGAGAAGAAAUUAUGAGAAAUUAUGAGAGAAUAAGAAGAGAGAAAAGACAUAUUUUCUAGAUAUUUUUCAAAAGUAAUAGUAGUCUACAUUGUUAUAAAUUAGCCUCAAUUAUAAGUAAUUGAAGAUACAAAUCCUAAAGGAAGUACCAUUUUAAUACUAGUUGAAAUAUUGAACUAAAGUGAUAAGAAUUGGAACUAAACUUGAAAUGAGCAAUUUUAAUUCCCUUCAUUAUGCUGUUUUGCUUUCAAUCUGAGGUGGAAAGUCCCUUUUAUAUAGACAAAAAAGAGACAUACUAAAAGGUGCCUAAGAAAAAACGAGUCAGAACCCUGGUAAACAAGAGUAUAUUGAGAGUGCCAAAAGGCUAAAAUCAUAACAAAAAUUAAAGGCCCCAACAUGGUCUAACCCAGAACAGUUGAGAGAAUCUUAAAAAGGGAGCUUUACCGACCCCAAAACAGCCCCAAGGUAAUCCAAACAAAACUUCAGGAAAGAUUCUUUGGGGGCCUGAUCCAAGCACUCGAGAUCUUCAAAUACAAAUAGUUAUGGGUAGUGCAUGCUGAUUAAGUGAACUGGUAUUUUUACUUAUGAUUAUUUUGUCUCUUUCUUUCCCUAUUGUUUUAUUAUGGACAUAACUGAUCCUUUAUGCCAUGGGUACUUAUCUUCACAACAUUUAUUUUAAAUGCAUGUCAUUUUUUAACUCAGAUUUACUAUCAUAUUCAUUAUGGUAAAGUAGAGAAUCUUUUCUUCUUUAUUUUUGUUCUUUGAAGAGCCGAGAUAGGUAUUUAUGUUUUUGAAACCUUUGUAUAGGACAAUUUGAAACUAAUGGAUGAUAUGGCUGCUUUAAGACCAACUAUAUUCUGCAGUGUUCCUCGACUGUACAAUAGAAUCUAUGCUGGGUAAUAAUUCUCUGGUGUUCUUUUAUAAUUUAUUCAUGUGAUUGUAACUCAUAUGAGCAUUAAAUAUUUUGAUUGGUUGCUUUGCUUGUUGCAGCAUUACAAAUGCUGUAAAGACAUCUGGUGUUUUAAGGGAGAGGCUGUUCAAUGCUGCAUACAAUGCUAAGAAGAGAGCAAUAUUGAGUGGUAAAAUAUACUAUCAAUUAGAUUUUUGUCACAUUUUUGCACGUGGUCGCCUUUUGGGUCUCGCUUGCUAGACUGUCAUACUUAAAACAUGGAUAUUCUCCCUCCAUCAUAACUAAUUGUUAAUAAAACUGUAUUAUUUAUACUGAAGUUUCGGAAGGUUCAUCCUUUCGUGCUUCCAUAAGUGUGAGUUUGCCUUUGAGUAUUAGAUUUAAGUAUCAUAUGAUCUUUGACUUGUAUAGAUUAAUAAUAUGGUUAAAAUGAAAGGUACAGAUGAAUAGCCAUGGAAAGAUUGUUGUGGAGAGAAAGAGAGCAUUUUCAGUUUUUUUAUUGCAUAACAAGUGAUGGGGCUAUGCUUCUAAGGGCUUCUUUUUCUUCUUUCUUCUUUCACAAUUUGAUGAACCUGAUCAUGAACAAUAUUGUUGAUUAUACUUGAGGUCUUAGGGAUGCUGGAGGCACUCAGAAAAAUAAUAUUCAACAAUCAGUUCAUGUUGCAUGUUUGGAUUUUAACAAGCACUAGCAUUGUGUAUGAAAGUUGCUUUAAUUCUCAUUUGUGCUAUAUCCUUCAUGAAAAAACCAUAUUCCCACAUGGUCUAACCUUGCCUCAAAUUGUUGCAGAACUUAGUGAUGUUUGUUCUUCUAUUCCUUUGAACAGAUGUAAGAGAAGUUGUACAAAAAAUUCCUUUAAAUUAGCAUAAAACAUCAGAAUAUUUGGAAAAGAUUUCUGAUGAAACAAGUUUUAGUAGCCACCUUAUGGACUCCAAGAUCAGCUUGUUUGAAGAUGUAACUGGCUGAAACAUAAGCUUUUAACUUGGAAAAUGAUUUUGAUGUGACAUGUAGGUUACUGGCUUUUGAAACUCUGAUUAUGGUGAAUAUAUAGAAGUUAAAUAACUGGAAAAGGAUUUGCAUGGAUAAUGAAUUUCAACAUUUAUAAAUUUCUUUUAAGGUUUGGAAGCCUAGAACUUCUUGCUUCAAAAGCAAUGAAGGUCCAGAAAAACAAUUUUCUUUAGAGCUUUCGAAAACUGUUCCAGUAUCCUUUACAUUUCCGAGUACUCAUUGCUGAAUGAGCUUCUGUGGUACUGUUCACCUCACUCUUUCCCAUGGAAAAACUUGAUUAUUCUGUGCUAUGUGCCUGUGCCUAGCAGAUGGGUUGGAGUGUGGAUGUGUUUGUAAGUUGGGUUGAUGUUUGUUAUAGCUAUAAACCUGUGAUUCUGGGUUAUAUGUGUAGUAUUGGUGCAUUUUAAAGAUUGUAUCAUUGUUUUGUUGAUCUGAUUAUGGCUCCAAAGCUGAUUCUGCCACUUUUUCUUGCUCCUACCACCAGAUGCUUGCUUCUUUUUAUUUUUAUUUAUUUUUAUUCUUUUGUCUUUAUUGGUUAUGUUAUAUAUUAUUGUUUCAGGUAAGAAUCCAUCUCCCAUGUGGGACAGAUUGGUAUUUAAUAAAAUAAAAGAAAAGCUUGGAGGCCGAGUUCGAUUUAUGGUUUCGGGUGCCUCACCCUUGUCUCCUGAUGUCAUGGAAUUUUUGAGGAUGUAAGUUCAUUGUUUUUCUUCUCCCAAAUAUUGAAUGCUUGCUAUUAGAAUGUAAGGACCCAAUGCAUAUAUUGUUAAUUUCCUUGUUUUGGGCUCAAUAAUGAGUUGGGAUUACUUAACAGCUGCUUUGGGGGUCGAAUAACCGAAGGAUAUGGAAUGACUGAAACUUCUUGUGUAAUAAGCUCAAUGGAUGAGAGUGACAACCUAACCGGUCAUGUUGGAUCACCUAAUCCAGCUUGUGGUGAGUCAUCGAUAUUGGUUGUUGGGGUGGUUGGUAUUCCUAUCAUGAUCAGGCAUGAUAUUGAUAAUCUGACAAAAUAUAUCCACCUGGAUUUAGACAAAAUUAAGAACCUGGCUGAAGUUUGAUAAGUGCAUUAGAUCAUUUUGGAUUGUAUCGCCUUUCCAUCUGGUUUCUUUCUGUUAAUAACCAUCCACAUACUCUUUUCAUGUGUGUAUUCUACCUGCUUUGCCCUCAUUUUUUAUUGUAAUUAAUGCGGUCAAGGGAUAUUGGUAGCUUACAGGUGAGUUAAAACACUUCUGGAUUUGAUAUAGCUAGGUGGAAGUGCCCCAAAAAAUAAGUUUGAAAUGGUUGUCUUAUCAUUGGUCUUUAUGUUGGAGAUCUCAAUUGAUUUCAUUUAUAAAGAUAGAAUAAAGUUGAAACAAGAAAAAUGUGGCUCCUGAGUACAACAAUUUUCUUUCCAUUGUGGUCUGUGCUGCUCUAUUUUGGGAUAAAUUUAUGUUAAUUUGUCCUCUUUCAGAAGUGAAGCUUGUGGAUGUUCCGGAAAUGAACUACACAUCUGAGGAUCAGCCCUAUCCUCGUGGUGAAAUCUGUGUUCGGGGUCCCAUUCUUUUUCUAGGUUACCAUAAAGAUGAAGUGCAGACGUACCCACCUUGCCUGUUCUGCUGGUUCUUUUGAAUGUUGUGCAUUUUGUCAAAAUUGGAUACAUCUGAUUAUGUGAUCAAAUUGAACAGGAGAGAGGUAAUUGAUGAAGAUGGAUGGCUUCAUACGGGAGACAUAGGUUUAUGGUUACCUGGAGGUCGCCUAAAGAUCAUUGAUAGGUAAAGACCAUAUCAUUUUUGUUGACAGUUCUUAGACGAAUUAAUAAUGACUCCUCUCUAGUUUUGGAUGACUCAAUUGACUGUAUGUUCAUAUCUUGGUCCUGUGAUUUUGUUAUUGAUAUAAUCGACUAUAAUUACAUACUUCAUUACCUGUGCAUUUCUUAGCUUUGUAUUAAAAGUUGUUAUAUGACAGGAAGAAGAACAUUUUUAAGUUGGCACAAGGAGAGUACAUAGCUCCAGAGAAAAUUGAGAAUGUAUAUGCUAAAUGCAAAUUUGUUGCCCAGUGCUUUGUAUAUGGUAAGAAAAAUGAGAUUUUACAAAUCUCUCUUUCAUCUUUUGCCUGCUGACUGCUUAUUUCUCUGAUGAUAGGUGACAGCAUGAACUCAUCUUUGGUUGCUAUAGUGUCAGUGGACCCAGAUGUUUUAAAAGCAUGGGCUGCAUCUGAAGGCAUCCAGGUGAUUUCUUAGCUUGGUUUAUUCAGUGUCACAAACAAGAAAGUGACAAUCCUCAUCAGAUUUUUAUUUUUUAUUUUAUUUUUUAUUAUUAUUAUUUUUUAUUUUAUCUGCUUGCAUUCUGAGUUUAAAAGAUAUGCUUGGAAAAUUGACAGACUUCAUAUUGCUGCAGCAGUUGAAGUUCAGAUGACUUGUUUUUGCCUGUAUAGUUGCAUUCUUGGUGCUCUCUGGGCAUAUCUUGUUGAUAUUUAAGUGAAUAUGGUUCUUAGAUACAGAGAAGAACAUGCUCACUUGAGUCUACUUCAAGGAUCUGCAAUUGAUUCCUUGCACCAGAUAGUAUAUAUUUGUUUUCAAAUGUAUUGAUCUAGUUAUCUUGUCAUUAAUCAUUAUGGCCUCUUCCCUGAUUUGCAUUUGUUUGCUCCAUUUAUUCUGAAUUCUCUAAUCAAGACCAUUGGAACAAUAGCUUGCAAGGAAAUAAUGUCACAGACAAUGUGCCCUACUCUGUGUGUGUGUGUGUUGUAUUAUAUUCCUUUUAGUUAAGAUGCAUUUCAAUCCUGAACUAUGAUUACAAAGAAAUGAUCAUCACUUCAUCAAGAAUUUCAACCCUUUCUUGUUUCAAUCAGAAUAUUUUAGAACAUGAUCUCUUUUUGCACUUAAGAAGGGUGACAUGUCCCAAAUUUUCAAGCCACAUUCCAGAUAUAUGAAGGCUGACUUAUGGAUUUUUCUUUUUUGAUUUUUGUUUCUGUUGUGUGCAUAUUGUUGCUUUUCUGUUUCUAAGUAGAACAAGGGUGUUGACUGUUUGAUUGAAACCCAUUUGACCAAUUUUUUUAUGGUUCUGUGGUAAUGUGACUGCAGUAUCAAGAUUUAGGACAACUGUGCAAUGACCCAAGAGUGAGGGCUGCUGUCCUGGCUGACAUGGAUGUUGUUGGUAGGGAAGCUAAGGUAAUCUAUCUCAUCUCUCAUAAGAAAAGAAACAUUUUUGUCUGAACAAAAAUGUUAAAACCAGAUCUUCUAGUUUCACAAUGUGCAGUUCUUUUCUUCUAUUUAUUUUAUGUACAUUUCACUGCAGUUGAGAGGUUUUGAAUUUGCCAAAGCUGUGACUUUGGUGCUUGAACCAUUUACCAUGGACAAUGAUCUGCUUACUCCAACAUUCAAGGCAAGUGUUCAAUUUAAAAAUCUGAGAAAAUAAAACCAGAGCAGACACAAUAAAAUGGCAGGCUCUUACUGCAUUAUCUUCUUUCAUGUUCUUCCAGAUCAAGAGACCUCAAGCAAAGGCAUACUUUGCAAAUGCAAUAUCUAACAUGUAUGCUGAGCUCUCUACAUCCGAUCCCUCCCCUCAGAGCAAGUUGUGAACUAUGUUAACAAAAUGCUGUAUCAAUGCUGAGCAUUUCAGACCUGGGAUUCAUGCAACCUCCCACUUGAUAAUAAGAUUACUGGGGUGGCAACAUAGUAAAUGGCUUGGAACAUCCUCAUGUGGAAGGUAUCUGAUCUUCUACUCCCGCUUUUAACUUUUUCCUCUGUUUCCUAAUAAGUUCAUUGUGGAUAUUAUAGCUAAUAAACCACACCUGAUUGCUCAGUUCAUCUAUGCUUAUAUUCAUUGUUGUAUUCUCAAAUAAUGUAUCAGUAAUGAAGCUGAAGAUGAAUUUCAAGGUGUUGGUAUUUCAUUAUUUAUGAGCAUAACUGUGAAUCAUCUUGCAUGAUGAUUAGUUCUUGAGGACCAAUUGUUAUAGAUAGCCCCUGCAUGAGUGGACAUAACUGUGAAAUUAGAGUUUAUAAUUCUAGGAACAGGUGGAUCUAUGGAAGGAAGAUUUCCAGAUUCUCAAAGAUUCUAUAAGCAAGCAACAUCACCUGUUAAUUUAGAACUCAAAAGUAUAAUCUCCUUUUCAUUUCUUCAUAAGGAAUACCUGAAGCCAUAAAAAAUUUAAUGAAGCCAUUAUAUUUAGUAAAAAUACUAUUUCACUUUUGUUUUUCCGAAAAAGUACAUCUUGAAUGCAUCAAUCAUCACUUUUGGGUUAAAUUCGUAUCGAUGUACAUAAUUCAUUUAAUAAAUAAGAUGUUCUUGAAUUGAUUUGACAGGAACUGCUCUAGACUCCAUUUUCACCUAAUAAUAAAAAUGCUUCUUGCUGCAAAGAAUUCAACCAUGUAUUAACGGCGGAGAAGUACACAACAAUGUAUAUACCGUAUACGUCUAAAAUCGGAUGGCCCCCAGUCAAAGAGUCUUACCCAAGUUUCUUCAACAUUUUUUAAAAUUUGGUAUCCACAUGAGCAUUGUAGGAGACGAUCAUCCUAAAGAAUCCAAUGAAGAAAAAGUGUGUAGCCAACUGCAGCAGCUUCCUUUAUUAGCUUCAACAUGACAAAAACCGGUGGGGUCUGUCUCUGUCUCUCAACGCAAGUCAACAUACGAAUCAAUUGGAUUAUACUAGCAUAUACUAGCAAAUUAAUGGCUCUAGCUUGCCUUCCUGGAUGGCUACGAUCAUUGAUUGCAGCAAGCUAAGGGCUAAUCUUGUCGUACCUAGUGUCAUUACAGUUGGGCAACUUUUGAUAUUGCAUUGGAAGUGACGUUUAAUUAUCGGAGUUUCAACUUCAUUAAUGAUUUUAAAAUAAGGGCAGUUCAAAUCAAUGGACUUCAAUUAUUAUCGAUUGGAACAUUCUCUCGAGGAAUAAUCAAUGGCAUUAGAAUUGAAGUCCAAGGCCACGAGCCACCUCCAACCCUUUUGGAAGUAUCUUCGUAUACUAAAGAAGAGGAAUGAUUUUGGAGAAGUAAGAGAACAAAAUGUCUGAUGCACCUAACUUCUGUGCACAAAGAGAAAAGUGGAUCGAGUGAAAUCUAAUAUGGAAAAUUUCAUGAUAUGGUCAUGGGACACUUUAAGAUGCUGUGUUCUGACUGUGAUUGAGAAAAGAAAGCAAUUUGGGAAUUCCAUGUUUUCUUGUACCCUGUUUGUCACAUCAUCAGCUCCUUUUCAGGUGAUUGAGUAGAAAAUCAAGAGUAUGAUUCAGAGGUUGUUUGUGAUUUUGGAAACAAUAAAUGACGUCACAGCUAAUAAAAAAUGGAGGUUGUCCUUCAUGUUUCGAAUGGGAUGCCUCUCCCUUUCCAGAUGGCAAGGCUCGUGAGAAACGAACGGCGCAGAGGUGCCAAGAUCGUAGCACGGAACAAGGAGAGGCCUACACGUGACCUUCGCCCUCCUCUCUCCUUGAGGAGAAUGUUUUAUUGCAUUGGCAAAGAGAGACAUUCAGGCUCUAGCUUAGAGAUUCCAACCACAGGGGAAAGUGUGUUUCUACACUCAUCUAAAAAAUAUCAUAAAACAACAAGUGUUAAAAAUAUAAUUAAAAUUCGAUAAAAAAAUAUUACAUUUAAUCAUUCAUGCACUAUAUUUUAAUAAUAUAUGUGUUACUUAUUAUUAUUAUUAUUAUUAUAUAUACUGACUUUGACCUAUUAAUAUAUUAAAUUUAAUUAUAUUUAAAAGGUUUUUAUUUUGUGGUACCAAAGAAAUUGUUCAUUGUGAUUUUAGUGUCAUGACUUUUUUUGUUGUUUGAGACGCUAUUAAAAAACUACCACUCGUUAUAAAAGUUGAUGAGUUUGAUUAUAUUAUUAAAAUGUAUUUUUGUGACAACUAUGGAAAAUGAAUUACUGAUUAGGUUGUAUGAGGAGUGUCACGUUGUCGUAAGAGUGAAUGAGUUUAGCUAUAUUAUUAAAAUUAUAUUUUUUGGUAAUUAUAAAAAAAAACAUCAUUAAUUAGGUAGUAUCAUAUAUUUAUGUUUUACUUUUGUACCAUAAUCUCAUUUAUUUCUUCCUUUAUAUAUUGAUUGCAUAUUUGUAUAUUUAUUUAAAAAUUAAAAUUUUAUUAUAUAUAUUGAACAGUCUAAAUCUUUUGUUCAAUAGGUACCAAUACGGCACCCUGGACAUUUUCCAAACUAGAAAUGUUAUUUAAUGAACCGAAUUUUUUGUAUGAUAGAUAUCACAAUCGGUAUCUAACAUGAUUUUUUGUUUGAUAUGUAUCAUUAUCGGUAUCCAACAUUUUCCUAAAUGGAGAUGUGUUCCAAAAUGGAUGAAAGAGUGAUAGUGAGUCUUAAGCCUAAAGUAGGUGAUGAGUCUCAAGUUUCCCCAAGUAAAGGCUUGUUUAGAAGCUUUUCAAAAUAUAUAUUUUUUUAAAAACUAAUUUUUGAAAAUAAGUUUGAAAAAUAAUAAUAUUAAUGUUUAUAACAGAAGUGCGUUACAUUGUAGAUGCUUAUGCAUGUCCAGUCCUCCAUUAAGGUAGUGGAGCUUGAUGCACCAGCUCCUCUAAAUACGCACGUGCUCAGAAGUCUCAGCCCACCAACAAGACCGAGUAUUGGUGGUUCGUGGAAUCGUCGGUAGCCGUAGGUCAGCGGUGCACCACAUUCCCACUCACAGGACGCUAAUCCCAUGCACCAACCUUCAGCGAAUCUCCGGACAUCCCUGGCCCACAUCUCCACAGCCGUCAUACCACUCCCAUCCGACGCUCCAACGUCACGCAAAAUCUACGGAAAUUUACUCUCUUUUCAAUGACCAAGGGUUACAGCGUUCUGAACUGAUUUGUUUGCUUAGUUAUUUAUUUGGGCGCACUAAAUGGUACUAAAUUUGUGCGGCGUUUGAUUAGGUCCACAAAUCUAACCGUCAUAACGAGGAACCCCAUAGAGCUCACAUACACCUAGCAGUAGAGGAUAAAUACCCACCAACACCGUCUCUUCUUCGCUCCAAAGCGAACGGGAAUCAGAGUCAAUACCAACCUACGAGAGGAGAAGUAAUAUAACGACAACCUUAGGGUAGUCGCACACGACUAUACCCCAGGGGCCAGUUCCACCGAGACGGAACCACUUUAAUUCUCAUCAUAUUUUCUCUAUUCUUUUUCUCGAAGCAAUCAUCUUGGAGAAUUUAAUUAAAAUUUAUGAUGAUCUGCACUCGUACGAGACACAGAAGGUGAAUCUUCAAUGCUGUACGGCCUCGAAUCGAGCAAAGCAAGAGACGAGACUUGGGGACCUAGAGUUUCUUCGCAGUUAGGGUUUUGGAUUUGACUCGAAUCAUGCUGUCGAAUCACUUACAGAACGGAAUCGAGACUGCGAGGUUAGUGUGGUCUCGGUUGCCCAACUCCGAUGAUGAGGCGCUGGACGAGGUAGGUCUCUCCAAGAAGAGUGAUGGAAGCCGUUCUGAGAGCCUUGAUUAUGAAGUCAUCGAGAAUAAUGCUUAUCGGGAAGAGCAGGUUCGAUUUUCGUGGUUUCUGAGCUCAAUUCGUGGUGAUUUUGAUUCUACCAUUUUUUUUCUUUGGUUGUGGUUCUUAUUUGUGAUUUGUUAUUUGAGAUCUGUAGGCGCAGAGAAGAAAGUUGAUGGUUGGAUAUUAUGUGGGCGUGAAGUGGUUCUUUGCCCUCCUUAUUGGUAUCGGUAAGGAGUUGUGCUGCCUGUGCAUCUAUUUUUCUUUUAGAAUAACCUUUUUGCUUCUCAUGUAUGGCUGGAAUUGACUAUUUUGAUAUACAAUUAAUUGAUUAUAGCAAUCUUCCGUUUGGGUGCUGAAUCGAUGGAAAAAAAAAAAGAAGAAAAAAAGAAAAGAGUAUUUUGAUUACUGCCUCUUUUGCUGCUCUGUUCUGCACAAUAAUUCAAAGCAAGGUCAACUAAGCGAGAUAAUAUUACAAGGCUCAAUUGGGUGGAGAUUUUUAUUUUAUAUUUUGGAAAAUAAAAAAGGGUGAAGAAUUUAAGAUUCAAUUUAGUAGAUUUUUUUGUCUCCAAGUUUUCUUAGCAACUAAACAGAGAAUCAUUCAAUGUUGUGAGGAUAAUUAACUGUAAGGAUGAUGAACUAUUGGAUAAUGUAGUGAGUUAGGAGUGGUGAACUGACUGAAAAUAUGUAUGACCUGCAUUUUCAAGUCAGAAGGUAGUUAAAUGCAUGAAUAUUGACUACGUGACUACUGGACAGCAGAAAGUAGAUUGAGAAGUAGCCAACUGUCAUUUGGAUGAAAUUUUAGCUGAAGUCUGAUGUGAAUGAGGGAAUAAAAUAUUUGUUUUAACUAGCAUGGCCACAAAGUUACUUUUAUUGAGAAUGCUAUGGUCUGAGGAUUUUAGGCAACCUUGAGGGGCAGGAAAUACUAAAGUGAGUCGAUAUAUCUAGCAGUCAUUCUCCUAUAUAAUCCUUGACAGAUUGAACAGUAGACAAAACAUACCAUUUCAAUCAUGUUGAUUAUGGGGGAGAGGUCUUGUAUACUCCCGGUAUGCUUUGGGCUGUCCCUUGGGUGCCUUUUUCUCUUGAUAUAUAUUACUUUUGUCUUUUACUUAUCAAAAAAAAAAAAUUAUAUGGGAGAGGUGGAACUCUUCAACCUACUUCAACCAAGGAGAGAUUAAGCAUGGUCUUAAAGGAGAGAUCAACUUCUAAAAUUCUAUGGACACCCCUUGAUUUGUAAUAAUAAGUGAGAUCUUCUUCCCUGGUGAAAAGUAAGAAGUCGUCCUCUGUAAUUCCCUUCUGCUUCUAGUGUGGGGAGUUACUGUAGUAUUUUUCAGAGGAUAGUUAGGAUAUGUUGUCUGAUAAUGGGUUUUCUGUUCUAGAGUUUAAUCAUUCCUUCUAUAAACUUUUUUCAUUCCUUCAUGGCAUUUUGCAUUAAUAUAAUUUUUUUUGGAAAAUAACUAUUAUUUCCUAAAAUAGAACCUUGAAUUCGUAUUCAUUUUCUUAGUAGUAUGGAUGGAGGUGUUAAAUUCUUGUGUUUUUACUUGAUUUUCUUUGCUCAGUUGUUCAAUGUUUCUUAGAAUUUUAGAUUUUAGAUAGUUGUUUUCACAUAUUUAUGACUUUCAUUUAAUUGCUUCCAGGUACUGGAUUAGCUGCUGUUUUCAUCAAUAUUUCGGUCGAGAACUUUGCUGGGUGGAAGUUUCAAUUAACUUUUUCCAUAAUACAAAAAUCAUAUGUGGCUGGAUUCUUAGUAUACAUAUUAUUCAACUUGCUCUUGGUCUUUUCCUCUGUGUAUAUUGUCACGCAAUUCGCACCAGCAGCAGCAGGAUCUGGUAUUCCUGAAAUUAAGGGUUAUUUGAAUGGUAAGUCAUAGUUCUAUCAUCCUUUUCCAGUAUCUCUUGCUAAUGAACCCAUUUCUGAUGUGGGUGAGAGACUGCUGAUGGUAAUUUAAAUGUGCAGGAGUUGAUACUCAUGGUAUCCUUCUUUUCAGAACCUUGAUUGGAAAGGUCUGGUGGGAUUUUUUUCAUCUUGUUGCCCUUGUUCAGGACCACUCUAUAUUUUCAUUUAUUUGUUUCAAUAUAUAAUUCUCUCUGUGACAUACAGAUAUUCGGAAGCAUUGGUUCUGUGGGAGGUGGUCUAGCCUUGGGAAAAGAAGGUCCUCUUGUUCAUACUGGUGCCUGUAUUGCUUCUCUGUUUGGUCAAGUGAGUAAACAACAAUUGUCGUAGAACUUUGUGUUGGAGCUUAUAGAAUUAGAUGUUGGGGUGCAAUAAUGCCACUCGUAAGCCUGGGAUGAGUCACCCAAAUAAUGGUGUUUGAAUGCCAUAAAAGGCUUAGUCUACCCUCGCUGGAUACUAAUUAGUUUUCAGAUGAGAUAGUCAAAGCCUAACCUAAGAUUAGAUGGAGUAUUUUUAUCUAACAUUUGUAUUAGAAUUGCAUUGUUUUAUAAAGCAUAAAUUAUGGCUAUUGAUUUUCUGGAAUGAUGGAAACUUUGUGGUGCCAACCUUAGAUGCUUGAAUGUUGCUUAGAUAUGUUGCUGUACAAUUAGAUAUCCUCCUUAUUUAUUUACCUAUCAAAAAUAAAAAAUAGGAAGCUGUUUUUCUUUAAAUUCCAUGUCAUACUAUUUUCUUGACUGUCUAAUAUGAGAGGAAAAGCUACUUGCAAACUUCCGUAUUAAGAAGCAAAGUGUUUCUAUAAGCUAUUUGGUAUGCUUGUAUGGAUUCUAGUGGAAUCUCUCUCUCUCUCUCUCUCUCUCUCUCUCUCCAUAAGCAUUCUAGUGGAAUAUCUUAAUAGGAUAUUGAUGUAGGACAACCUAGGAUGGCUUUCUACAUUUAAAUUAGAUGGGCUAAGGCUUCAAGCUUUUAGGAUUUAUGAAGCAGAACAAGAAAUAAAAUUAUGGCAGUGGGAAAAUAAAUAAAAUAAAAGAUAAGAAAAAUAAAGAAGAAAGAUAGGAAACCUUUGAGUUCCACUACUAAGGCCUUCCAGGAAUCUUACCAAAAAAACAAAAGUUCUAAAGUCUCAUCAUUGAAAAUUGCAAGACAUGCCCAAAAAAAAAAAAAAAAUGGAAAAAACUUUUUAUCAAUCAUUAAUGGCGUUUUAGGUCAAUUAGCCUUAUUUAUAAGCUUUAAAUCUUUUUAAAGAAACCUAGCCUACAUAGUAGCUUAUUUGGACUCUUAUUUCUUUCCUAAAAUUCCUAAAUCAUCUAAAUGAAAUAGUUAAAAAAUAUAUAAACUUUUUUUUUUUAGAAUUAGAAAGUUAAAACUUUAUAAGAAUUUCUAAUAUAAAAGAUUUUUUGGAUUCUAAAAAGGACACAAACAGAAAUGGGGAAAAAAAAAGGAAUUUUAGAUUAGAAAAAUAAAAAUUUCUUUUAAGAAGAAAUUUUCAGUAUAAAACUUUCCAAAUUUUAAAUGAAAUUCAAAUACCAACAAUUGACUAAUUAUGACUCUAGAGAAUCUAAAAAACUCAAAAUUAGCUAAAUAUCCUUGAUAUGGUAGGUUUUUUUUUUUUUAAUUUUUAAUUUUUAAUUUUAUUCCUUUCCGGAGAUUCAUUUCUAUCUGACAUGAUGCACAUUAUAUAUCUAUCUUUUUUUUUUUUUCCUGUAUGAUGUAUAAGAUGUGACUCUUGAUAUAAUAGAAUUGUGGGAGUUCUGCUUUGCUCUUGCUGACCUUAAAUUGUUAGGCUGAGAAUCAAUAAACGAGUGUUUAAAAUUGUCACAAGAAGCCACAUAGUUUUCCUCUCAAAAAUGUUUUUUAUUUUUUUAUUUUUUAUAUUAAAAGUCCUGCUGCAUAUCUACUAUAUUUUUUGCACAUUCUUGGUCUUCACUCAUAUUCAACUUCCAAAGUACAAGUCAAAACUUAUUGUCAAGAAAAUUAUUUGUUUCUGAUCUGGUUUCUAGUGUUUACACUAUAAACUCAAUUUUAAUGUCACAUUAUGUGUAAACUCAGGGUGGAUCCACAAAAUAUCAUCUUAGUUCAAGGUGGCUACAAGUUUUUAAGAGUGAUCGGGAUCGACGCGAUCUUGUGAGUGACUUAUGCUUUUUAAGUUCUGUUAAUACUCUGAAGCUUCUCUAUUUGUGUAUAAUAUCAGGAUAAAGUAUGUUUUGGAUUUGUUUUCUUGUUUUUGCUCUCUUUAGGUGAACCCCUUUUUACUGCUUAGUGUCAUGGUAUCAUAAGGUGCUUGCUUACCCUGUCUCUUGACACAAGGCGAAAUGAAUAUUCUUGAUCAUUUCUAUAGGUUUUUUGUCUUUUACUAUGCUUUUGCAUUUAUUUUUGGUUUUAUUAGAAGAAAGUGUGCUUUGUAACAUAGUAGACCUGGAUUCCUUUCCCAGUGUGAUGUUCUAAUAUUGUAAUACCUUUUGGUUUUAUUGAUGUGGUAUUCUUUAGUUAUAAUGAUGUUGUAAUGCAAGAGCAUCAUAUCUAACUUUUGUAAGUAGGGGGAAAAAAGGAGGGACAAGGCUUUGGCCAUUUCUUUAAAUUUUCUCAGCUUCACAAAAUUUGAGCCUUAUUUGAAUGCAUGCACAAACAUUUAUCCAUGCAUAGAAAUCUAUCAGCUAUUGAGUUGGCUAUAUUGUACAGUACAUUUUGAUUUGUAUCAAGUGAGUUCCAGCUUUUCAGUAUCAUCUUUAUGUAAAAUGUUUUUCUACCAUUUAUAAACUUGCUUAUGAUUUAAAAUGCAAUCACCAAACAGGUAAACAAGUAUUGUAGACUUCAUGCAAUUGCAUGUGUAUCCUUGAUUAGCAAUUUUCUUAUUUUUCUGGUAUCAUUUUGUAAUUUCCAACAUUGUCCUUGCAUUUUUCUAAUAAUGAGGUAACUUACCUCUAAAGUGUGGACCUCUAAAUUGUGCUGAUUUUCUAUUUAUGUAAUGUUUUGGAAAGGUAACAUGUGGGUGUGCAGCUGGAGUGGCUGCUGCUUUCAGAGCUCCAGUUGGAGGUGUAUUGUUUGCAUUGGAAGAGGUGACAUCAUGGUAAGAAAAAAAAUAUUUCCUUUGUUUAUGAUUAUAUAAUAUAUAUAUAUAUCCAGUUUUGCUUAUUUUGUGAGGAUGUUCAGAAGGUGUUUGUUUGUGCAUGUGCACAUGCAUUUGCAUGGCAUAUAUGGAAGCAAGCAUAUGUCUAUGUUUGUGUGUAUAUGUUGCCAGUUAUUCAAUUUUCAUGAUUUGACAUGUCUAUACAUCUCAAUAAUGGAAGAACUUGAAUGUUAUUUUACCUUAUAUUUAUUCAUGCGGUGCUUUUGAAGGUGGAGGAGUCAACUCAUGUGGCGUGUCUUUUUUACUUCUGCUGUUGUGGCUGUUGUGGUGCGAACUGCAAUGGGAUGGUGUAAGAGUGGAAAGUGUGGACAUUUUGGCUCAGGUGGCUUCAUAAUAUGGGACAUAUCAGAGUUAGAGUCCAUAACCUUCUUCUGCUCUUCUAUACUUUUCUACUGUCUCCUGCCUCCAUUUUUGCCUUUACUUCUUUCCUGACCAGUUUCAUUUUCAGUGGUCAAGAGGACUACUCGUUUGAGGAAUUAUUGCCAAUGGCAAUUAUUGGUGUUAUUGGAGGUCUUCUUGGUGGGUUUCUUUUUUUUUUUGGGUUGAAGUCAUCCUAAUUCUAUUCAUAGGAUUUAUAUUAAUUGUUACUAAAUUAAUUUAAGCUUUUUUUCCCCUUUUUUUCCAGGAGCCUUGUUCAACCAGCUUACUAUUUAUAUUACUUACUGGCGCCGAAAUUAUUUGCACAAGAAAGGGAGCCGAGUGAAGGUCAGUUAAUGAGGAUUGUCUAGGAAACUGGAUUUGGCUUAUUGCUUUAUGCUUGUUUUUAUUAAUGAUGUGUUGUUACCUCAUGUUUCUGAUCUUUUGUACUUUAUCAUGACAGAUGAUUGAAGUCUGCCUUGUGUCCCUGAUAACUUCAGUUAUUUCCUUUGGAUUGCCACUUCUAAGAAAAUGCAGUCCAUGCCCUGAAGUAGAACUUAAUUCUGGCAUUGAAUGCCCCCGUCCUCCAGGGAUGUAUGGGAAUUAUGUAAAUGUAUGGUUCCCAAUCUUUACUGCCCUUUUGGAUUAUCUUGAGCUUUAUGUUGAUUUUAGUUUGUACUUUUUGUAUAUUUGCGUGUAUCAGAUAGCAUGCAAUUUUCAUAUAUGCAAAUUCUAUUUUUUAUAUAGAGAAGCUUGUGCUCUACUUAAUUCGUUUUGUUGAUUGGUAGAGAAUGCUAAAUAAUAGUUCCCUAUGGGCUUUAUGUAUGUUUACCAUUUAUAUUUUUUAGGGGAUUUUAGGUGUAGAACUGUCAAUAUCUUUCAAUCAUGCCUUCAUGUGAGUCUAGAGUGAUUAUCUUGAUUAAUAGAAUUACAAGAGCAGAAAUCAACCAUUCAAACUACUUUCAAAACCAGUGUUGUAUAAAGCCCUGUUGACUUCAAAGGUGGGGGUUAAGCUCAUCUUAUUUGAUGUGAUUUUUUCUUAUUCUAUUGGCCCUGAGAAAAGAGUGGGCUUUUGUUUUUUCUUUGCCAUUUAAGGCAUAGAAAUUUCUAAGAACCAACUUAAUACUGAGGUUGCUUGUGUUGGAUCUGAAGGGCGGAACUUAAUUUUAACUUCUUCUAAAUAUUAACUCAGAAACAAUUUCUAGUUUGGAUCUGAAUUUAAGGGUAGUUAUUUGGUGGAAAAGUGCAAACUCUCUACAUUUGGGGGCAUCUUCACUUUCCUAUUUGGUGGUAACUGAGGUGACUCUGUGCGUUGUUAGCACACAACUGCAACUAUUACUCUUUAUUUUAUGAUCAUAUGAUCUGUUAUAUAGAUUGAAAAUGAUCAAGAAAACAUUCUUUUCCUUGGAAGGACGAAAGAGCUGAAUGUAGUGGAGAAAUCUACUUAUGGAUUUGAUCAUUUAUAAUAAAUUCUUUUUGAUAGGCUGUUCAUUCAUAAUGGAAAUUAUUGAUUUGAUUCCUUCAUGGUGUAAUUUUUAUGGGCUCUUGUUGAAUGUUCUCUGCACUUUAUACUCAUGCAUCAUUUAUACCUUUGAUAUCUCCCUCUUAAAUGAUAAGAAAACCCCACCUUUUAUCAAAGCCCCUCCUCCCAACCCCCACCCCUCCAAUAUUUUCAACUUUUCUAUGUUCUUCUAGCUUUAUGAUAAUCUUACCUACUCCAUUCUAUCUGCAGUUCUAUUGUGAUAAGGACAACGAGUACAAUGAUCUUGCAACAAUUUUCUUCAAUACUCAGGUUUUUGUGAAUUCCUACAAAUCUUUAUCUCAUUCCCUCUAGCAUUUCUUCUAAUGUCUCCUUUAUUUUUCUAUUCUUCUAAUGAGUUUAGUGUUUGUGGUUAUAGGAUGAUGCCAUACGGAAUUUAUUUAGUGCAAAAACAAUUCAUGAGUACAGUGCACAAAGCCUAUUGACCUUUUUGGUACUGUAUUUCUUUACUUGCUUAAUGAACUAUUUAUUUGUAAGUUUCCAGUUUUUAUGCAUAUUUUGAUGGAUUUCUUUGUGUUUGAGAAAGAGUCCUGACUAUGAAAAUGGAACCAUGAGUUGAGUGACUAUGGAGCGGGCUAACUAUUUAUAUGAAAGAACCUGUCCAUUUUCUGCGCAACUCUUUCUCAAUUAUUUCCUUUGCAUUUUCUCCUCUUUAUAUAUGCCAUUGGUGAUGCUUGUGCAAAAGGGAUGACAGAACGACAGAUGACUUGCCCCAGUUAGGAUGGUCUGACCUGUUGUAGAUGUUGUUUUCCUCAUUUGGCUUUUCUCAGGUGUUGCCUAAAUCAGUUAAGGAUACCUAGGAUGGUUGGCAAGGAUGGUUUACAAGUAUGUGAAAGAGGAAUGUAUUUAUAGAAGGAAUGAAUCUGAAAAGUUGAUAGUAUGAAGGAGACGAAGUUGCAUUUGUUAGUAUAUUUUUAUUUUUCUAUUAAAAACCAAAAAACAGGAAAUUUAUCUCUGGGUUCUAGAAACAAGUAGUAAAAGAGAGAGGAAGGGGUUGUGUGUUUAUUUGUGUUGAAGUGCUUAUCCUUGGAGAAUAUAAGACAGUCUGGAGGAAAUUUGGGUUAAGCCGAAGGUAGUAUCAUGAUGAAAGGAAGGCCAAAUGUUGAGCUUUUGGAUUAAAAAAACAUGAUGAAUUUUCAUGUCUCUAAAUAUAUAGUAGAUGACAAGAAAGUAUUCAUAUAGCCUACCUUCGUAGUUGGUAUAAGGCAAUGGUUACUUGGGUUGGAUUGAGUAGAUUAGACAUUUGAUGAAAGCCAUGAAACUAUUGUGAGAGACACAUCUAGUCUCUAAAACUAUAGAUGGAGAGGAAUUAGAAAAUUUUGGUGUGAAAAAUCAUUAGAUAAUAGCUAUACUAUGGAUCUGAGAAGUCCUGCAGUGAAUUAGUUAUAAUUUUAUUUCUCCAAUUUUGAUAUGGUAGGUUUCAGAAUUAGAAUCAUUUUAUUUAUUUUUUGUAAAUUAUAAUGCCAAUCUUGAUGUUUUUUUUUCCCCUUAGAACUUGAACAUGUGCCAAGCUAGUUUUAGUUUCUGGCACAUUAUGAUCAUGGUUUUGUUACAAGAGAGCUGGAAGUCUUGCAAGAGGCCAAGUAGGAAGCAUGGCACCCUUCUCUUCUGGCAAUAAUUUGUAUGAACUGGGGACUCACUCAAAUUUCCAGAAAACAGCCCCCUUCCUGGAGUUAUCCACUAUAUGGGAAUAUGGAAUCGAUUACUUAGAUUGGAUCGAGUACAUUAGAUCAUUGAAGAAACUUUUGUGAGAAGUUCAUCUAGCCUCUAAAAUUAAAUUAUAAAAUUUUGGUUUGAAGAAUUAUUAGAUAAUAGCUAUAUUAUGUAUAGCCAUACAAUGAACUAGUUAUUUAUUUCUCCAAUUUUGAUAUAGUAAGUUUUAGAAUUCCAAUCCUUUUGUUUCUUUUUGUUGGAAUCCGUGCAACGAUUUAUGGUGAAAAAAAAAAAUUAGGGAAAACGAGAAAGAAAGAACACGCAGAUUUAACAUGGUUUGACAAAUUGUCUACGUCCACGGGAAUAGGGAAGAGGACUUU